Molecule: unclassified non-coding RNA, 240 nt
Filed under: soil metagenome
Description: partial contains 5.8S ribosomal RNA, internal transcribed spacer 2, and large subunit ribosomal RNA
Source: RNAcentral
AAGACUAUAGACCUGCGGAGUACCUGCGGAGGGAUCAUUACCGAGUUCUCGCCCCUCGCGGGGUAGACCUCCCACCCACUGUGAUCACUACCGUCGUUGCUUUGGCGGGCCGCUGGGCCCAGCCCACCGCCGGCUCCGGCUGGCGCGUGCCCGCCAGAGGCCCUACAAACGCUGGAUAUCAGUGCCGUCUGAGUACACAUGUUAAUCGUUAAAACUUUCAACAACGGAUCUCUAGAUCGG